UGGGGACAGACUGGAAAACAACAAAAAUAUAAUUAUUUUAGUUCAAAGUUAUUGUGUCUUGAGUUGAAAGGCAGGACAGUUAGCAACACAGUUCAGAUUUCAGUACUGCCCCUGAAAUCUGAACUGUGUACAAAGUCUAAAACGUUUACCGUAGCAAAUUCCUCAUAAAACUCCAUUUGGAAGAGUCCCGAGAGCUAAUUUGUUAAGUAUACUUGCAGAAGGUAGAUGAGGAGACAGAUAAAAUCUUAUUACCUCUUUCAGAUGAGAGGCACUUGAGCCCUGCUCAGCUAUGAGAAUAAGAGAGGGGGAAUUAAUUCUAAUUGAAUACACUUGUUCUCUUAUAGCUGUUGUUCCCCACCAGAACCAAAUGAGCGCAAGAUCUGACAAAGAAAAAAAGAAGUUCAUCUUUUAUUCCCCCAAACCCUUUCAUUUAAAUCAAGAGGGUGGGAUGUGGUUAUUGCUGUGUUUUUAGGCAGAAUCAACGGUUUCUGGGUCUGAGAAGUUGCAUACACACUCUCAGUCCCUGUAUCCUGAGAUGGAGUCACCUGAGGAUCCACAGCAAGUCCUAACCAGGGAUGGGUCUGGGUGAUUAAGGAAGGUUGGCUUCAGAACUGGGCCAGAGGCACUGCUUUGCUUUUGCUGUUUUGAUCAGCUCUGUGCCUGCAUGAGACAAGGAAAAUCAAUGGGAACAGCCCAGUAAAGUCGCCAUUCCCCAUUUUACAGCUGGGGAAACUGAGUUACAGAGCUUUUCUGCACUGAGUCAUCAGGAGCAAAUGCUAGAUCAGAUAGAGUCUCUCUCUCUGCCACCCAGGCCAGAGUGCAGUUGACGCAGGGCAGGGGAGCCCCGAAGUGGAGCAUAGUGUGUCCGGAACUGGUGGGUUCUUGGUCUCCCUGACUUCAAGAAUGAAGCCACGGACC
RNAcentral lists this long non-coding RNA (918 nucleotides) under Homo sapiens (human). RNAcentral describes it as "HSALNT0344934". The record is from RNAcentral. Lineage: Eukaryota; Metazoa; Chordata; Mammalia; Primates; Hominidae.